GGCGUAGUCGAUGGGAAACAGGUUAAUAUUCCUGUACUUGGUGUUACUGCGAAGGGGGGACGGAGAAGGCUAUGUUGGCCGGGCGACGGUUGUCCCGGUUUAAGCGUGUAGGCUGGUUUUCCAGGCAAAUCCGGAAAAUCAAGGCUGAGGCGUGAUGACGAGGCACUACGGUGCUGAAGCAACAAAUGCCCUGCUUCCAGGAAAAGCCUCUAAGCAUCAGGUAACAUCAAAUCGUACCCCAAACCGACACAGGUGGUCAGGUAGAGAAUACCAAGGCGCUUGAGAGAACUCGGGUGAAGGAACUAGGCAAAAUGGUGCCGUAACUUCGGGAGAAGGCACGCUGAUAUGUAGGUGAAGUCCCUUGCGGAUGGAGCUGAAAUCAGUCGAAGAUACCAGCUGGCUGCAACUGUUUAUUAAAAACACAGCACUGUGCAAACACGAAAGUGGACGUAUACGGUGUGACGCCUGCCCGGUGCCGGAAGGUUAAUUGAUGGGGUCAGCGCAAGCGAAGCUCUUGAUCGAAGCCCCGGUAAACGGCGGCCGUAACUAUAACGGUCCUAAGGUAGCGAAAUUCCUUGUCGGGUAAGUUCCGACCUGCACGAAUGGCGUAAUGAUGGCCAGGCUGUCUCCACCCGAGACUCAGUGAAAUUGAACUCGCUGUGAAGAUGCAGUGUACCCGCGGCAAGACGGAAAGACCCCGUGAACCUUUACUAUAGCUUGACACUGAACAUUGAGCCUUGAUGUGUAGGAUAGGUGGGAGGCUUUGAAGUGUGGACGCCAGUCUGCAUGGAGCCGACCUUGAAAUACCACCCUUUAAUGUUUGAUGUUCUAACGUGGACCCGUGAUCCGGGUUGCGGACAGUGUCUGGUGGGUAGUUUGACUGGGGCGGUCUCCUCCUAAAGAGUAACGGAGGAGCACGAAGGUUGGCUAAUCCUGGUCGGACAUCAGGAGGUUAGUGCAAUGGCAUAAGCCAGCUUGACUGCGAGCGUGACGGCGCGAGCAGGUGCGAAAGCAGGUCAUAGUGAUCCGGUGGUUCUGAAUGGAAGGGCCAUCGCUCAACGGAUAAAAGGUACUCCGGGGAUAACAGGCUGAUACCGCCCAAGAGUUCAUAUCGACGGCGGUGUUUGGCACCUCGAUGUCGGCUCAUCACAUCCUGGGGCUGAAGUAGGUCCCAAGGGUAUGGCUGUUCGCCAUUUAAAGUGGUACGCGAGCUGGGUUUAGAACGUCGUGAGACAGUUCGGUCCCUAUCUGCCGUGGGCGCUGGAGAACUGAGGGGGGCUGCUCCUAGUACGAGAGGACCGGAGUGGACGCAUCACUGGUGUUCGGGUUGUCAUGCCAAUGGCACUGCCCGGUAGCUAAAUGCGGAAGAGAUAAGUGCUGAAAGCAUCUAAGCACGAAACUUGCCCCGAGAUGAGUUCUCCCUGACCCUUUAAGGGUCCUGAAGGAACGUUGAAGACGACGACGUUGAUAGGCCGGGUGUGUAAGCGCAGCGAUGCGUUGAGCUAACCGGUACUAAUGAACCGUGAGGCUUAACCUU
RNAcentral lists this ribosomal RNA (1537 nucleotides) under Escherichia coli. RNAcentral's name for it is "bacterial LSU rRNA". It matches the Rfam family "Bacterial large subunit ribosomal RNA", at positions 1408 to 2925 of the family's 2925-position model. Lineage: Bacteria; Pseudomonadati; Pseudomonadota; Gammaproteobacteria; Enterobacterales; Enterobacteriaceae. The record is from RNAcentral.